Molecule: long non-coding RNA, 991 nt
Filed under: Anas platyrhynchos platyrhynchos (common mallard)
Lineage: Eukaryota; Metazoa; Chordata; Aves; Anseriformes; Anatidae
Description: lncRNA (ENSAPLG00000028549.1)
Source: RNAcentral
CACAGGUGUGGACGUCUCAGUGCUUGUGGUAGCAGUGUUGGUGGUAGUCAUGGGAGCAGAGGCACUGGUGCUGGUGGGAGCAGUGGUGCUGGUACUCGUGGUAGCAGUGGCGCUGGUGCUUGUGGGUGCAGUGGCACUGGUGCUCGUGGUAGCAGUGGUGCUGCUACUCAUGGGAGUAGUGGCGCUGGUGCUGGUGGGAGCAGUGGCGCUGGUGCUGGUGAGAGACGAGGCGCUGGUAGUCGUGGUAGCAGUGGCGCUGGUGCUUGUGGGUGCAGUGGCACUGGUGCUCGUGAGAGCAGUGGUGCUGGUGCUCAUUGGAGAAGUAGUUAUUGUACUCACAGGUGUGGACGUCUCAGUGCUUGUGGUAGCAGUGUUGGUGGUAGUCAUGGGAGCAGAGGCACUGGUGCUGGUGGGAGCAGUGGUGCUUACACUCGUGGUAGCAGUGGCGCUGGUGCUUGUGGGUGAAGUGGCACUGGUGCUCGUGGUAGCAGUGGUGGUGGUGCUCACGGAAGAAGUAGUUAUUGUACUCACAGGUGUGGACGUCCCAGUGCUUGUGGUAGCAGUGUUGGUGGUAGUCAUGGGAGCAGAGGCACUGGUGCUGGUUGGAGCAGUGGCGCUGGUACUCGUGGUAGCAGUGGCGCUGGUGCUCAUGGAAGCAGUGGCGCUGGUGCUGGUGGGAGCAGUGUUGCUUAUACUCGUGGCUCCGGACGUCUCAGUGCUUGUGGUAGCAGUAUUGGUGUUACUCACGGGAGCAGUGGCGCUAGUGCUCACAGCAGUAGUGGUGCUGGUGCUGGUGGGAGCAGUGGUGCUGGUGCUCGUGGUAGCAGUGGCGCUGGUGCUGGUGAGAGCAGAGGCGCUGGUAGUCGUGGUAGCAGUGGCGCUGGUGCUUGUGUGUGCAGUGGCACUGGUGCUCGUGAGAGCAGUGGUGCUGGUGCUCACGGGAGAAGUAGUUAUUGUACUCACAGGUGUGGACGUCUCAGUGCUUGUGGUA